GCCAGAUUCUUUAACCGUCAGAUCUCAUGGGAAAUAAGGAUACAAAUUCUGGAGCAGCAACUGAUUUACCAGGAAACACUGAGGAGUAGAGCAAGGUAAAGAAUUUUAACUGUUUGGGGUUCGUUACUUCACACUUAAGAAAUCUACAAACCACAGGAAAUGAAACUUGACUAAAUGCAGAUGACACAGACAGCCAACUCCGAAAAUGUGCUGGGCUCCACUCAGUUCUAGGUGACCUUUAGCAAAAAGAGGGUGUUCUGAUGAAACCCUUUGACCAUAACCAACAGCCUCCAACUUACAGGAUUCUCCCCUCGUAUGACCAAGUGGUGUAAUCUUUGAGGUCCUGGCAGCACAGGUUGAGUGCAACCUAAAAGAGAAUGAGGAUUCCACAAGGUCUUCUGGAAUGGUACACUUAUUGGAAACUUGUUUCAGCAUUCAAAAAAACCUGGCCUGUUUCUAAAGCAAUGCAUGGUUUAAGAGGAAUGGCAAAUUGAAGCCAACGUUUUUCAAACACAUUUCACUUAAAAAAAAAUGGCCACUAGAAAGAAUGCAACUUAUUUUCAAAAAGAAUUAUCUCAAGAAAGCAUGGUUGGCCCAUUCAUCCAUCUCCCUGCCCACAAGGGAAUGAAUGAAUGAAGACAAGAUGUGCCACCUCUGAAAGACUGUUAAUCUCCCUCUCUCUAUAAAAGUGGUACUAUGUAAUUUCUACUCAUUUGGUUACAAAUAAAAUUAGUAAGUGAAGGAUCCGUAGUUUCUGUAUGUCACCUACAAACCUG
This 776-nucleotide long non-coding RNA is filed under the name Homo sapiens (human). RNAcentral describes it as "HSALNT0356560". Lineage: Eukaryota; Metazoa; Chordata; Mammalia; Primates; Hominidae. The record is from RNAcentral.